UAAUAGGUACAAUACUAAAAUAAACACAAAUUAAAAAAAAGUUUUAUUAAAACAAAACUGUACAAAAAAGCAGUUAUACUACAUUUUAAUUACAGAACAGUCUACUGUCCAAAAGGCACUAAUCCAGAAUAGGAGAUACAAUGAUACAGGACUCAUUUGAACUAUUUUAAUCAAUACAAUAGAGCACUUGUUUCUCUGUCCAUUCACAUACAGAAACAAGGACUUUUGCUACAGUCAUUACACAUUGUUAUAAAUAUGAGCCCUACGUAGAAAGGUGCAGUAUCGCUCUCCCCUGGCCAUGGGUCAGCUCUGACAAAGACAGGGAUUAAAUUAAACAAAAAACCCAAAAGGGCACAAGGGGAGAGGCUGAUGGUUCAUCCUCACAGCAGCUGCUGCCAGGGGAAGGUGUGAUGGAUACUGACCCUCACCUGCAUUUGGGGUGGAGGCUGGACCAGUUUCCUCAAGGGGCUGUGGUGGGGCUGAAGGUGAAGCUCCAUCAUUUCCUGCCCCGAGCUUCCCAUCAGUUACUGCACUGCAUCCUGCUCUAUCCAGUCUCCUUUGGCCCUUUGUGAUGGAUAAACAACAAUUCCCAAGCACACCAAGGGCUCUCACGUUUCCUGCACUGUUCCUUUUCUCCUCACAGGGAGCCACCAGCACCUUGCAGGUAAAGGCAGUGAGUGGGAGAAGAGCUGGGAAUGCUCUUCCCAACACUCAGGGCCUUCACUGGCAAGAACAGAUGGAUCCCUCUCAAGGCUGCUCCAACCUUCCCAAAGAGCCAGAGCCCCAAAGCCACCAGGGGUGCAGGGUGGAUGCUCCUGAGGGGGCACAGGGGGAGUCACAGCCCAUCACUCCCCAGCCCUCCUUCCUGACAGCCAAACCCAUCCAGGAGCAGCCAGUGCGGGAACUCGAGGAGCUUCCUCCAUCCCCAUGGGGUGGGACUGAGGCUCACCCCUGGCACCACCCCAGCACUUUCUUCCUUCCCACCACGAGGAUCUGCUCAUCCUCCCUCCCAACCUAUCCAAUCCAUAAUUUUUUUUCCCCCCAAAAUGUCAGGCUGAGGAGCAGCAGCAGACCAUGGAAAUGUGUUUAGGGAACAACUACGAGCAGAGGAAUCAACCAGAACAUGAAUAUUCAACUUCACCACGAAGAGGAGCUGGGAAAUGAAACAUCUCAUCUUUCAGCUGAACGAGCAGCCCUCAAGAUCAAGACCAGGGUGGAUCUGAAGAGGAUGAUGAUGAUGAUGAGGAUGAUGAUGAUGAUGAGGGGCAUCACCUGACUCGUUCCCUGUGGAGGAAGGAGGUUGGACACACGGCAGGAGAGGGAUACUGCACCUUUGGAACAGUGUCAUACACAUAAGACAAAGACAGGCAUCUGGAUGUUAACAAAAAUAAGUAACAAAGAAAUAUGAUUAAACAAAAUCUCUUCUCACAUCAUCCUAUACUACAUCCUCCUUCUGCUUAGCAGAAAAUUGUACGUACACAAAAAUACAAAUACACAAUUUUGUAGAACAGUCUGAUUUUAAUAUAUUUAUAUAUAUUUAUAUUUAUAUGAGUGGCAGGUUAGUUCAUUAUAUAGAGCUUUUUGCACUUUUGGCUCAUAUGCAACAAGGCUUUAUAAAUUCAGCUUUAGCUUUCAUUCAGGUUUUAUAGCUUCUUGAACAUUUGUUUUCACAUUUAAAGCAGCAUCCAAUUUGCAAGAGGAGUUGGUGGUGGCUACAGCAAGGAUCAGGUCAAGAGGUUAUUUGGGGGCUGGGGGGGAGGAGAAUAUACAUUCCAGUGUGAGUGUGAGUGUGAGUGUGAGUGUGCGCUAGUGCUCAUGGAGAACUGCCCAGAGGGUGAGCACACCGCUCCAGGAUCCCAUGGCUACCCCUUGAGGUAGGCAGGACACCUCCAACAGCAGAUGAGACACAGGCCCAGCCGGGCAGAGCAGCAGCUGGGGGGACAGGAGGAACGGGCAGGGAUGGGACACGGGGGACACUGAUGGAUCUGGGGACACUCAAGCGACAGGAGCCACCCCAGCACAGCCCAGCCAGGAGAUGCACGGCUGGCACCAGCCACAGGCUGAGAUCACAGUGGGACAAAGUCGAGGCACGCACAGAAUUCGGAUGUGAGAACCUCCCCAGCCUUCCCUGGGUUUUGCUGUUCCUGUGUGCUCUGGGGUUGCUCCACUGUGCCCUCACUCUGGGCUGCCACACUCACCGACAGCACCCACCUGCUGUCACCAACACCCCUGCAGGGACCGUCACUCUCAGGGAAUCCUCACUUCCAGAAGGCAUCUCGGAGCAGGGCCAAGGGCUGUGUGUGCCACAGAGGGUUUCCAUCAGGAAAUGUCCCCAUUUCCAUCAGGACCCCAGCAAUGGAUUCCCACAGGAUCACUGCCUUCUACCAGCACCCAUCCACUCCCCAGAGGAUGAGUUCCUGCCCUCUGCAGGGAUGCCCUCACAGCUUUCCUUGCCAACAGUCCCUUCCCACCUCAGAUGUUGUCAGAGGGAGAACAUUUUGUUGCUAAUGAAAAAUAAAACAUUUAUACACGGAUUGCUUUCAUUUGCUGAACCCUAAAGUGUUACUAAAACUCCUUCAUAGUGUUCUGUUACCUCCUCUCACUGUGGUCAGAAGAAAUCCUCCUGUAAUGAAAUAUUUUAAACUAUCACUGAUACCUUUAUUCUUUAAACCUACAUAAAAUUCUCACCUUUACAAAAUUAUAACCACCUGCCAAUAGUUAGGGUUAUUUGGACAUGUUUAGCAGGUGCCACUAUGAUAAAUGCAGAAAUAAUUAAGAAUAUAGGAAGAAACUGCCUUUGGGAUUCCAGAGGGGUUCUGGCUGCCCCAUCCCUGGAAAUGUUCCAGGCCAGGCUGGAUGGGGCUUGGAGCAACCUGGGACAGUGGGAGGUGUCCCUGCCCAUGGCUGGAUGAUUUUUAAGGUUCUUUCCAACCCAAACCAUUCUGUGAUUCCAAAGGAGGUGAUUAAAGACGCACAUCAGCUUUUUCCACCCAGAGAUGGAUGUUUAUCACACAGAGCUCUUUGUAUCUGCAAUCCAAGAGGCAGUUUCCUACUGAAUUCCAUCCUCUUUGCCACCCACCCCAGAUCAGAGAUUGCAAACGUUUGGCUGAGGAAUGAGAUCACCCCCCAAAAGACUGAGAACCAAGGGGGGCAGCAUGAGGAAAGAACAGGGAGUUUGUCCAGCCAAAUUCUGCUGGACCCACUGGAGGGAUGCGUGCAGGGAAGCAGGGAGGGCUCUUUUCUCAAGAGGGAAAUGAGGUCUAAUCCUGUUCCUCCAGCUCACUCUGGAGUCCUGUUCCUCACUUAGGCACUUUUUAAAUUGACAUUAAGAAAAAAAAAACAACUAAAAUGAAAGAAGUACUGCACAAAUCUCCCACUUCCCGGGCUUUGGGAGGAUCAUGAAGACCAAGAGGAAGACAGCCAAGGCAAUGUGUCAGGAAAAUGUUUUCCCCAUGGCCACAGCUGGCUUUGACUCAUCACCCUUUGACAGAACUGCUGUGGAACUCAACUGAGUGUAAAUCUGGGUUUUCAGCCUGUCCCACGGUGCCAUCCCAUGGGAUCUGACUCCCAACGGGACACGGGGCUCCCCAGCCUCAGCCAGCAGCACUGGGGGCAGAAAUGCUGCCCAGAACCAUCCAGAACUCCAGCACAAAAUCAGGGAGGCUUUGAUGACAUUCACAAAGACAUUCCUGGAGCCAACAGCAAGGAAAAAGGGAUUCUGCUUUUGGGUUUUUACUGGGUGACAGAAUGGGGAAUCUGUCCCUCCCGAAAGACCAAACAGGGCUCUGACCCCACAGCAACCAAAAACCAGCUUCAGGUCAGCACAAGGCUCAGGAUGACACCCAAAUUCACACAAAAACAAAAAAAAAAAAAGGAACAGAAAAUUCAGUGGAUAACACUGGAAGAUGGGAAGCUCAAAAUCCAAACUGUUUUCACUGUAAUUUUUCAUUUGGAAAAGUGACUUCAAUAUUUUCCAAUGAUUUUUCAAGCUGAAACCAACUUAUGAAUAAUAAUAAUGAUAAGCUCCUCUGGCUGCAGUGAGGGAUCCCUAACCCUGGAUAAAUGAAGUGUCCAAGGGAAGCAGCAGACUCCUGGGAAAGCUGCGCAAAUCCAGGCAUCCUGUCCCAAACAGCCCCAUUACAAACAGGCACCCAAACCAGGAAAAUCCACUGCUCCAAUGAAGGUUCCAACACAAGCAAGGCAAAAUAAAUUGGAACAAAAGAAGGCCAGGCUGGAUGGAGCAACCUGGGACAGUGGGAGGUGUCCCUGGCCAUGGCAGGGGCAGGAACUGGAUGAGCUUUAAGGUCCUUUCCAACCCAAACCAUUCCAUGAUUCUAUGAAAAAAAAACAUUUCCACCUUGUCCCUCUCCCUGUCUCCAACCCCCUGAUUUCACAAGGAUUGUGCAAGUGAAGAACCUGCUGUAAACUGGCUGAAUUUAUGAGCUGACUGAUUUUUUUUUAACCGGCCAAAGUAGAUAAAAUUGUUAUUUAUUUCAUAUAUACUUCAAGUAAGUAAUGGAUACAGCACCAUCUAAAAGGCCAAAGGAAAGGGGAAUGUCUCCCAGUAAACAAAUCUUACCAGUAAAAAAAGAAGACAGACCAAGUAAUAAUAAUAAUAAUACUAAAAUUAAACUUAAAAAUUGCUAUUUCUGUGAUUUUCUAACCAUCCAAACUGCAAGGAGGGAAAGGAGAAGGGUCUGAGAGCUGGGAAACCCCGGAGUAGAAAGUUUGGAAGUUUCUGCCCUACACUGGAUUGCUUUUUACAGGGAGGAAACAACAUAAAUCCCUUACUUGGAGGCUGCAAGGACAACAGCUUCAGAUCAGAGCAGGUCGGAAGAGGCAAACCAGGUAAAAUGGAAUUAUUGGGAUGUGAAGGAGCUUGCAUGAAAGAUAAAAGAAAUUAUUUCUAUGAGAAGCACUGAAAUCUGGGAAAAUAAUGUGAAAAUAAUAAUUCAGUGCUGAGAAUCAACUUCAGAGGGAAGCAAAUGGCUCAGAGCAGUUGAGGAGGGCUGAGCUCAGAGCCCACAGGAAUUCCUUCCAGGAAUGCAGGCUCCAUGCAGGAAAUAAGGAGACACCAGUUUAGCAAGAGGGCUUGUGCUGGCUGGGGGAUGUUUUGAAUCCCUCUGCAAAUGGCAUUUGUGGAAAUCAGCUGCUGAGGCACUGCAGCCCAAAGAAAUAAUUGUAGUUGAUCAAAUUUUAUUUAUGCUGAAUUUUUGGGGUAAUGGUACAAGAUUUUUAUUGUAUGGAACUGGAACUGGGGCUAGAGACAUAAGGCACAACGUGUUCUCUGAUGGAAAGUUCUUGCUGCAGAGAACCCCUCCAGAACUCAAAUCUCUAUAAACUGGUCAAUAUUCUCAGCAAGUUCUAAAGGUAAAAGACACAUUUUAUCUCUUUGGAGUCAUAGAUUUACAAUUAAGGCCAGAAGGGACCAGUGACAAGGAGACCUUGAAGGUCGAGUGGCCUCCCACAAUCCUGAUGCAAACUCCCUAUUUCCAUCUACUUCCUAAAAAAA
This is a non-coding RNA of Zonotrichia albicollis (white-throated sparrow), 5512 nucleotides long. The record is from RefSeq and is a predicted model, not a curated record. NCBI's taxonomy places the organism in Eukaryota, Metazoa, Chordata, Aves, Passeriformes, Passerellidae.